RNAcentral lists this ribosomal RNA (468 nucleotides) under uncultured bacterium. RNAcentral's name for it is "partial 16S ribosomal RNA". It matches the Rfam family "Bacterial small subunit ribosomal RNA", at positions 28 to 507 of the family's 1533-position model. The record is from RNAcentral.
GACGAACGCUGGCGGCGUGCUUAACACAUGCAAGUCGAACGGAAAGGCCCUGCUUUUGUGGGGUGCUCGAGUGGCGAACGGGUGAGUAACACGUGAGUAACCUGCCCUUGACUUUGGGAUAACUUCAGGAAACUGGGGCUAAUACCGGAUAGGAGCUCCUGCUGCAUGGUGGGGGUUGGAAAGUUUCGGCGGUUGGGGAUGGACUCGCGGCUUAUCAGCUUGUUGGUGGGGUAGUGGCUUACCAAGGCUUUGACGGGUAGCCGGCCUGAGAGGGUGACCGGCCACAUUGGGACUGAGAUACGGCCCAGACUCCUACGGGCGGCAGCAGUGGGGAAUAUUGCACAAUGGGCGGAAGCCUGAUGCAGCAACGCCGCGUGCGGGAUGACGGCCUUCGCGUUGUAAACCGCUUUCGCCUGUGACGAAGCGUGAGUGACGGUAAUGGGUAAAGAAGCACCGGCUAACUACGUG